Bos taurus (domestic cattle) is the source of this 904-nucleotide long non-coding RNA. The record is from Ensembl. Lineage: Eukaryota; Metazoa; Chordata; Mammalia; Artiodactyla; Bovidae.
GGAGAGGAGACGCACAGUCAAGGGCAGGACCAGAGGUGAUGUGGAUCUGGGCACCAACAGACAACUGGGAUUUUAAAAGCUCCAGGGACUGUAACCCACCAGGAUCCUCUGUCCAUGGAAUUUUCCAGACAAGAAUACUAGAGUGGAUUGCCAUUUCCUCCUCCAGGGGAUCUUCCCAACCCAGGGAUUGAACCUGUGUCUCUGGCGUCUCCUGCAUUGCCAGGCAGAUUCUUUACCACUGUGCCACCUGUGUAGCAGAGACUAUGCUAGAUCUUCACUAUACCUGUUUUCCUUCACCUCCUGGAUCCAUGGCAGCUCAGUCUGCCUUGGGGGAGGAGGCAGCAUGCAGGAAGGGGCAGAGUGGCUGAUGAAUCUCCCUCCCAGGCUUGGUGCCUCAUGGUUGCAAGAUGGCUGCUGCAGCUCCAAGCAUCUUGUCCUUAACACCAGCAUGUUCAAGGCAAGAAGAGGGGAGUGGCUGGUGUUAAAGAACUUUCCUCUCAGCUUUUCUCAGAAGCCCCCAAGCUGACUUCUCCUUGAAGCUCAUUGGCCAGAACUCAGGUAUGUGGCCAUGCCUAACAGUACAGAAGAAUGGAAAGGCAAUAUCUGGCAAAGUGCAAUGGGUCACCGUAUUGGUUUAGCCCAAUCGUGGUUAAUUGCUUGGGGCUUGGGGAGGAGUCCUCAGUCCCUGAAUUCAACAGCUCUUUACCAUCUACCAGAGCAAAAUUUAAGUUCCAGGUUCUGUUAGCAAGAGAUGGGGGUGGUGAGGGAGUAGAGCAGUAUAUGCCACCCAUAAUAAAUAAAUGUCACCUGUGUGACCCUCAUAUGUUACAUGUGACUGUGAGGAAGUUGAGGUUGAGCAGUGGUCACCUGAUUCUGUCUGCCUGAUGUUGCUUCCUCUUUCUUC